CUGGCCCUGAAUCAAGGCUGGCAGCUUCCUGAUGCUGACGGUUUCAAACAGGAACCUAAAGAGAUGUCUUUUUAUGGUUUAUUGGCCAUUUUAGAAUUUGGGCAGUAAAAUAGUCAAUUCAUUAGAAAGAAACAACU
Cavia porcellus (domestic guinea pig) is the source of this 137-nucleotide small nucleolar RNA. The record is from Ensembl. Lineage: Eukaryota; Metazoa; Chordata; Mammalia; Rodentia; Caviidae.